UGGGGAAUAUUGGACAAUGGGCGCAAGCCUGAUCCAGCCAUGCCGCGUGAGUGAUGAAGGCCCUAGGGUUGUAAAGCUCUUUCACCGGUGAAGAUAAUGACGGUAACCGGAGAAGAAGCCCCGGCUAACUUCGUGCCAGCAGCCGCGGUAAUACGAAGGGGGCUAGCGUUGUUCGGAUUUAUUGGGCGUAAAGCGCACGUAGGCGGACUAUUAAGUCAGGGGUGAAAUCCCGGGGCUCAACCCCGGAACUGCCUUUGAUACUGGUAGUCUUGAGUUCGAGAGAGGGGAGUGGAAUUCCGGGUGUAGAGGGGAAAUUCGUAGAUAGUCGGAGGAACACCAGUGGCGAAGGCGGCUCACUGGCUCGAUACUGACGCUGAGGUGCGAAAGCGUGGGGAGCAAACAGG
This 404-nucleotide ribosomal RNA is filed under the name Verrucomicrobiota bacterium. Its description in RNAcentral is "Verrucomicrobia bacterium partial 16S ribosomal RNA". It matches the Rfam family "Bacterial small subunit ribosomal RNA", at positions 355 to 776 of the family's 1533-position model. The record is from RNAcentral. Lineage: Bacteria; Pseudomonadati; Verrucomicrobiota.